GUUAGUUAUCACGGGAGACACACGGCGGGUGCUAACGUCCGUCGUGAAGAGGGAAACAACCCAGACCGCCAGCUAAGGUCCCAAAGUCAUGGUUAAGUGGGAAACGAUGUGGGAAGGCCCAGACAGCCAGGAUGUUGGCUUAGAAGCAGCCAUCAUUUAAAGAAAGCGUAAUAGCUCACUGGUCGAGUCGGCCUGCGCGGAAGAUGUAACGGGGCUAAACCAUGCACCGAAGCUGCGGCAGCGAACGUAUCACUUAAAGCGAUUCAGCGGGUUACGAUUGACGGAGCGAAGCGACGUCAAAGCGUAUACAAAGUCGAGUCGGUUUAAGGAUACGUUCGUUGGGUAGGGGAGCGUUCUGUAAGCCUGUGAAGGUGGCCUGUGAGGGUUGCUGGAGGUAUCAGAAGUGCGAAUGCUGACAUAAGUAACGAUAAAGCGGGUGAAAAGCCCGCUCGCCGGAAGACCAAGGGUUCCUGUCCAACGUUAAUCGGGGCAGGGUGAGUCGACCCCUAAGGCGAGGCCGAAAGGCGUAGUCGAUGGGAAACGGGUUAAUAUUCCCGUACUUGGUGUUACUG
RNAcentral lists this ribosomal RNA (572 nucleotides) under Salmonella enterica. Its description in RNAcentral is "partial 23S ribosomal RNA". It matches the Rfam family "Bacterial large subunit ribosomal RNA", at positions 967 to 1456 of the family's 2925-position model. Lineage: Bacteria; Pseudomonadati; Pseudomonadota; Gammaproteobacteria; Enterobacterales; Enterobacteriaceae. The record is from RNAcentral.